Molecule: ribosomal RNA, 294 nt
Filed under: Shigella flexneri
Lineage: Bacteria; Pseudomonadati; Pseudomonadota; Gammaproteobacteria; Enterobacterales; Enterobacteriaceae
Description: partial 16S ribosomal RNA
Rfam family: Bacterial small subunit ribosomal RNA
Source: RNAcentral
UUAAGUCGACCGCCUGGGGAGUACGGCCGCAAGGUUAAAACUCAAAUGAAUUGACGGGGGCCCGCACAAGCGGUGGAGCAUGUGGUUUAAUUCGAUGCAACGCGAAGAACCUUACCUGGUCUUGACAUCCACGGAAGUUUUCAGAGAUGAGAAUGUGCCUUCGGGAACCGUGAGACAGGUGCUGCAUGGCUGUCGUCAGCUCGUGUUGUGAAAUGUUGGGUUAAGUCCCGCAACGAGCGCAACCCUUAUCCUUUGUUGCCAGCGGUCCGGCCGGGAACUCAAAGGAGACUGCCA